ACCUAACAGCUAGCCCACCAAACAUUUCAACAACCCCUAUUAAUAACCCCUAAAUACCCCAGUAUUUAUUUUGAACAAACCAUUUUUCCCCCUUAGUAUAGGCGAUAGAAAAGGGCCUACGGCGCGAUAGAGAAAGUACCGCAAGGGAACGCUGAAAGAGAAGUGAAACAACCCAGUAAAGCCUAAAAAAGCAGAGAUUUAAGCUCGUACCUUUUGCAUCAUGAUUUAGCAAGUGUAACCCAAGCAAAGCGUACUUUAGUUUGACGUCCCGAAACUAGUGUGAGCUACUCCAAGACAGCCUAUCAAUAGGGCACACCCGUCUCUGUGGCAAAAGAGUGGGGGGAGCUUUGAGUAGAGGUGAUAAACCUACCGAACCUAGUCAUAGCUGGUUGUCCAAGAAAUGAAUAGAAGUUCAGCCUUUCGGCUUCUCUUUUCACCUUAGUCUGACCCCUAUGGAUGCACCAAAGAAACCAAAAGAGUUAGUCAAAGGGGGUACAGCCCCUUUGAAUCAAGACACAACUUUACCAGGAGGGUAAAGAUCAUAAUAACUAAAGCUAAAUGUUUGGGUGGGCCUAAAAGCAGCCAUUCCCCUAGAAAGCGUUAAAGCUCAGACAUGUAAUUAUUCUUCUUAUCCUGAUCACCAAAUCUUACCCCCCUAACCGUACUGGACCAUCCCAUGCCUGCAUGGGAGUGACUAUGCUGAAAUGAGUAAUAAGAGAGCUACCGGCUCUCUCCCUGCACACGUGUAAAUCGGAACGGACAACCCACCGAACCUUGACGGCCCCAAAUAAAGAGGGUAGUGGAUAAUAGACCAAAAAACUAGAAAAGUGUCCAAAAACA
Molecule: ribosomal RNA, 840 nt
Filed under: Pleurogrammus monopterygius (Atka mackerel)
Lineage: Eukaryota; Metazoa; Chordata; Actinopteri; Perciformes; Hexagrammidae
Description: partial 16S ribosomal RNA
Rfam family: Bacterial large subunit ribosomal RNA
Source: RNAcentral